AAAAUCAUCCUGAAAUAGGGGCUUCUCAGCAGAAUCCAAGAUUUUCGGGGUGGAAAUUGGAGAUUUCCUCAGUAAAACAUUAUUGAGUUACUGAAGUGACAAUACUUCACUAUGUUUGCUGGAAUUCAAAUGUUACCAGAAAGAGUUCCCGAUCCAGACCCC
Molecule: long non-coding RNA, 162 nt
Organism: Gorilla gorilla gorilla (western lowland gorilla)
Lineage: Eukaryota; Metazoa; Chordata; Mammalia; Primates; Hominidae
Exons: 3
Source: RefSeq, a predicted model, not a curated record